Molecule: ribosomal RNA, 418 nt
Filed under: uncultured beta proteobacterium
Lineage: Bacteria; Pseudomonadati; Pseudomonadota; Betaproteobacteria
Description: bacterial SSU rRNA
Rfam family: Bacterial small subunit ribosomal RNA
Source: RNAcentral
GAGUUUGAUCUUGGCUCAGAUUGAACGCUGGCGGCAUGCCUUACACAUGCAAGUCGAGCGGCAGCGCGGGGGCAACCCUGGCGGCGAGCGGCGAACGGGUGAGUAAUACAUCGGAACGUGUCCAGUAGCGGGGGAUAACCUCUCGAAAGAGAGGCUAAUACCGCAUACGACCUACGGGUGAAAGCGGGGGACCGCAAGGCCUCGCACUAUUGGAGCGGCCGAUGUCGGAUUAGCUAGUUGGCGGGGUAAAAGCCCACCAAGGCGACGAUCCGUAGCUGGUCUGAGAGGACGAUCAGCCACACUGGAACUGAGACACGGUCCAGACUCCUACGGGAGGCAGCAGUGGGGAAUUUUGGACAAUGGGGGCAACCCUGAUCCAGCCAUGCCGCGUAAGUGAAGAAGGCCUUCGGUUGUAAGA